This 422-nucleotide ribosomal RNA is filed under the name uncultured bacterium. RNAcentral's name for it is "partial 16S ribosomal RNA". It matches the Rfam family "Bacterial small subunit ribosomal RNA", at positions 360 to 774 of the family's 1533-position model. The record is from RNAcentral.
AAUCUUCCACAAUGGGCGAAAGCCUGAUGGAGCAACGCCGCGUGAGUGAAGAAGGUUUUCGGAUCGUAAAACUCUGUUGUAAGGGAAGAACAAGUACAGUAGUAACUGUCUGUACCUUGACGGUACCUUAUUAGAAAGCCACGUCUAACUACGUGCCAGCAGCCGCGGUAAUACGUAGGUGGCAAGCGUUGUCCGGAAUUAUUGGGCGUAAAACGCGCGCAAGCGGUCCUUUAAGUCUGAUGUGAAAGCCCACGGGUCAAACGUGGGGGGUCAUUGGAAACUGGGGGACUUGGGUGCAGGAGAGGAAAGUGGAAUUCCAAGUGUAGCGGUGAAAUGCGUAGGGAUUUGGAGGAACACCAGUGGCGAAGGCGACUUUCUGGUCUGUAACUGACGCUGAGGCGCGAAAGCGUGGGGAGCAAACA